This is a microRNA precursor of Monodelphis domestica (gray short-tailed opossum), 68 nucleotides long. NCBI's taxonomy places the organism in Eukaryota, Metazoa, Chordata, Mammalia, Didelphimorphia, Didelphidae. The record is from Ensembl.
AUGGGAGGGAGAUGGAGGGGCAGCAGAGCAGACCUGUGCUUGGUCCUGACCCUACUUCUCCGCCCAGG